RNAcentral lists this ribosomal RNA (450 nucleotides) under uncultured bacterium. RNAcentral describes it as "bacterial SSU rRNA". It matches the Rfam family "Bacterial small subunit ribosomal RNA", at positions 354 to 796 of the family's 1533-position model. The record is from RNAcentral.
GUUAGGAAUAUUCGUCAAUGGGGGAAACCCUGAACGAGCAAUGCCGCGUGAAGGAAGACAGUCCUCUGGAUUGUAAACUUCUGUUGUUAGGGAAGAACGACCUGUGUAGGAAAUGACAUAGGAGUGACGGUACCUUUCAAGAAAGCUCCGGCUAACUACGUGCCAGCAGCCGCGGUAAUACGUAGGGAGCAAGCGUUAUCCGGAAUUAUUGGGUGUAAAGCGUGUGUAGGCGGGAAAUUAAGUCUAAGGUCUAAGCCCGGAGCUCAACUCCGGUUCGCCUUAGAAACUGAUUUUCUUGAGUGUGGUAGAGGCAAACGGAAUUUCUAGUGUAGCGGUAAAAUGCGUAGAUAUUAGAAGGAACACCAGUGGCGAAGGCGGUUUGCUGGGCCACUACUGACGCUGAGACACGAAAGCGUGGGGAGCAAAUAGGAUUAGAAACCCUAGUAGUCC